GUGGGGAAUAUUGGACAAUGGGCGCAAGCCUGACCCAGCAACGCCGCGUGAAGGAAGAAGGCCUUCGGGUUGUAAACUUCUUUUAUGAGGGACGAAGGAAGUGACUGUACCUCAUGAAUAAGCCACGGCUAACUACGUGCCAGCAGCCGCGGUAUACGUAGGGUGCAAGCGUUAAUCGGAAUUACUGGGCGUAAAGGGCGCGUAGGCGGACAGUUUAGUCAGAGGUGAAAGCCCAGGGCUCAACCUUGGAAUUGCCUUUGAUACUGGCUGUCUUGAGUACGGGAGAGGUGAGUGGAACUCCGAGUGUAGAGGUGAAAUGCGUAGAGAUCGGGAGGAACACCAGUGGCGAAGGCGGCUUACUGGACUGUAACUGACGCUGAGGCGCGAAAGUGUGGGGAGCAAACAGGAUUAGAUACCCCAGUAGUCC
This 427-nucleotide ribosomal RNA is filed under the name uncultured bacterium. RNAcentral describes it as "partial 16S ribosomal RNA". It matches the Rfam family "Bacterial small subunit ribosomal RNA", at positions 354 to 796 of the family's 1533-position model. The record is from RNAcentral.